CCACCGUGAGGUUUACAGUUUUGGUUUGGAGAGAAAUGUCCCACCAACUAUUAGAUGGAUUGCCAUGAGAUGUGGUUUAUCAUUCAGGUUGAGUUAACCUCCAUUCACCUGCGUUGUAUUGAAGUGACGGCAGAAAACUCAGAGGCAAAUAUCUCAAAAACCGGAAAAAUAAAAACCACACUAUCUGCAUGACAAGUUCUAGAUGAGUCAGGAAAUCUGUUUUUUUGUCAUCUCGGUGAACUGAGCAUAUAAUCUUCUGUUCCUCCUGUCAGAUGUUCCUUCUAUUGAUGUAUUACCCGUCUGUUAUGUUUCCUUUCCUUCCCGUGUUCCCUCCUUUAUCUGCUCCCUCACCCUGUCGUUUUGUCUCCACAGUCACUGUAUCCAUCAGAUUCUAGACAGUGUGUCUUACACCCACCAACAUGACAUAGUGCACAGGGACCUCAAGUCAUUGCAUCCAGCAGAUCCUGGAGGCCGUGCUCCACUGCCAUCAGAUGGGGGUGGUACACAGAGACCUCAAGCCAGAGAACCUGCUGCUUGCCAGCAAGUGUAAGAACGCUGCGGUGAAGCUGGCUGACUUUGGUCUGGCUAUCGAGGUCCAAGGAGAACAGCAGGCUUGGUUCGGUAUGACACACACACACACACACACACACACACACACACACACA
Anarrhichthys ocellatus (wolf-eel) is the source of this 665-nucleotide long non-coding RNA. RefSeq lists it as uncharacterized. NCBI's taxonomy places the organism in Eukaryota, Metazoa, Chordata, Actinopteri, Perciformes, Anarhichadidae. The record is from RefSeq and is a predicted model, not a curated record. The transcript is spliced from 3 exons.